This is a long non-coding RNA of Gossypium raimondii (Peruvian cotton), 838 nucleotides long. RefSeq lists it as uncharacterized. The record is from RefSeq and is a predicted model, not a curated record. The transcript is spliced from 3 exons. Lineage: Eukaryota; Viridiplantae; Streptophyta; Magnoliopsida; Malvales; Malvaceae.
CCAUAUGUGAAGAGGUUGUACAAACCAAUACCACUUAGCAAGGUAAACCACAGCCAUAUGAUUGGGGCAAAUGAAUAUCCCACUUUGUCAGUUCCAAAUUGUUGAAAGCAGAAUAGGAUGACCAGAAUUAUCACAGAAAUUCCCACCACAGCGUCUGAAUAUUAUUCAAUCUUUUUUACGUCAAUACGUGUAUUUAUGCAGGCAAAAAAUGGUUGAAGAAGGAAGAGUUAUACCUGAGAUAGAUGGUAGUUGCCCAUAUACUAGCAAAAGAGGGGCUGAGGAGGGGUGGGAGCACUUACCUGGUGGAGACUGUGCCGAUUCUACGAGGGCGGCGGUGGAAACUGACCGGUUUGGUCGGCAAGGGGAUAUAGUGGAUUACGUGCAUUUAAUCCGUUGUAUAUAGUGGAUUACUUCAAAAGACGCGGUAAGAACGGGUAGAUAUCACUUGGAGGAGUAGUACUUUGCAUUACAGGAACCGAGGCUAUGUUUGCUGAUCUGGGUCACUUCAGUGUUCGAACAGUUCAAGAAUGCAAUUUGGGGUUAAAUAGAAGAAAAAAGAAAUAAUUGGGCUAGAUUGAAGAAAGAAGCAAAGAAGGAGGGCCAAAGCAGAAUUUUUCCAAGAAUAAUUAGCUGAAAUUGUUGGCUUAGUGGGAGAUUAUUUUGGGAUAUUUUUUAUAUUAUGGAAUAUUUUCCUUGAUUUUCUAUACUAGUUGGGUCUUAAUUUAGCAAGGCCACUAGUAUAAAUAGAGGCUACAUUUGUUCAUUUUAAUCAUCAAUUGAAAUAUCAAGCAUUCAUCUUUCAAUACAUUCUCUCUUUUCUCACAAAUUUAUUUGUUGU